AGUGAAUCCCCAAAAGGUGCAAAUGAUGCAUCUACAUUCCAAAGAAAGCUUGCAGUGGAGUGCAUUUUUUGCUCAGCGUGUAUUCGCUUUGUGGAGUGUUGUCCACAAGAAGGACUUACAGAAAAACUCUGGAUCGGACUUGAAAACUUUUUGUUCGAUUGGCUGAUAAAUGCUGACAGGGUUGUUAGUCAGGUUGAAUAUCCUUCAUUGGUUGAUUUGCGCGGUCUCCUUCUAGAUCUAGUUGCACAACUCCUUGGUGCUCUAUCAUGUGUCAGGU
This is a long non-coding RNA of Helianthus annuus (common sunflower), 277 nucleotides long. RefSeq lists it as uncharacterized. The record is from RefSeq and is a predicted model, not a curated record. NCBI's taxonomy places the organism in Eukaryota, Viridiplantae, Streptophyta, Magnoliopsida, Asterales, Asteraceae. The transcript is spliced from 4 exons.